Molecule: ribosomal RNA, 216 nt
Filed under: Glomeromycotina sp.
Lineage: Eukaryota; Fungi; Glomeromycota
Description: partial small subunit ribosomal RNA
Rfam family: Eukaryotic small subunit ribosomal RNA (bases 40-216)
Source: RNAcentral
GGGUCAGUAGGUUGGUCGUGCCACCGGUACGUACUGGUCUCACUGAUUCCUCCUUCCUGAAGAACCGUAAUGCCAUUAAUUUGGUGUUGCGGGGAAACAGGACUGUUACUUUGAAAAAAUUAGAGUGUUUAAAGCAAGCUAACGCUUGAAUACAUUAUCAUGGAAUAAUGAAAUAGGUCUAUCGAUCCUAUUUUGUUGGUUUCUAGGAUUGACGUA